UACGUAGGGGGCAAGCGUUGUCCGGAAUCACUGGGCGUAAAGCGUGCGUAGGCGGUUUUAUAAGUCCGGAGUGAAAGUCCAGGGCUCAACCCUGGGAUUGCUUUGGAAACUGUAGGACUUGAGUGCUGGAGAGGCAAGGGGAAUUCCACGUGUAGCGGUGAAAUGCGUAGAUAUGUGGAGGAAUACCAGUGGCGAAGGCGCCUUGCUGGACAGUAACUGACGCUGAGGCACGAAAGCGUGGGGAGCAAACAGG
RNAcentral lists this ribosomal RNA (253 nucleotides) under uncultured bacterium. RNAcentral describes it as "partial 16S ribosomal RNA". It matches the Rfam family "Bacterial small subunit ribosomal RNA", at positions 524 to 776 of the family's 1533-position model. The record is from RNAcentral.